UCAAAACUUUUACUCCUUCCCACUUUCCCCCCAAAACCUUUACUACCCUCCCCUCCCAACCCCCCAAUCUACCCAAAAUUCAUUUCCCACCAAAAUUUUACUCUCCCAUUUACUUUUUCUCAAAAUUUUACUCCCAAAAACCCUCAAAACUUUUUAUUUUUCCCCAAAAUUUUUACUCCCUCCCACUUUUUACCUAAAACUUUUAUUCCCUUCCCAUCUCACCUCUCAUCUACCCCAAACCCUCCCCCCUCCAAUUUUUUUUAAUAUAUUCCCUCCAAAAUUU
RNAcentral lists this long non-coding RNA (283 nucleotides) under Gossypium raimondii (Peruvian cotton). RNAcentral's name for it is "long non-coding RNA (GRAI_LNC001931)". The record is from RNAcentral. Lineage: Eukaryota; Viridiplantae; Streptophyta; Magnoliopsida; Malvales; Malvaceae.